UGGAGCCAGCUCUAAAGCAGCUCUGUACCACUUGGGUAGCCUCCACUGGGGACAUUUGGAACUUGGCGCUAGAGUGAAAUCUUCAGACUCUAAGUUAAAGGGGCAUAUAAAAAUGUUACUAGCAUGGGCGGCAAAAGCAGCACUACCUAUGGGAAAAGCAGCCAAUCUCUGGCAAUGAAUAAGUGUAAUUGAUCACAAAAGAUGACUUGAUGGCCCUUCCAAACGUGCUUUUAGCAAAGUGGACAGUUUUUCAUUCAAAUGCAAGCUCACCCAGAUAAAAUCUAAUAAUGGAGACUUUGGAACAAUCCCAGCGUCAGCAAUUCCUUUUUUUCCCCCACUCUCCUUCUCUGAACAGGAAGGCAUCUUAAGUUCCUGGUCACAGCUUGACCUAAUCAGAUGACAAUUUAUGCUUUCCCUAAGGCUGAGGAGACCCUGACAGUCCCUGGGGCAGCAAAAGGCUCCUAGGCUCCUAGGAAGUGACAGAUCAGGUGCCACCUUCUUUCCUCGGAAGAGAACACUCAGCAAAGGAAGAGGCUGGCGCCUGAGGUUAAACAGGACCAACCAAGUGUCUCAGGGAGGAGCGGGGAAGUGAGCAGCAGGCGAGGCCUAGGACAGGAGCGGCGGGGAUCUAGAGAGGGGUGCGCCUACCUGCCAAGGAGCCGUCCUCGUGGUCGGAGCUGUUGUAGCUGCAGUCACUGCCCCUCUCGGGCGAGCUGUGGCCCGGCGAGUCCCGCUCCGGCAACCCCAGGUACCUCUUGCGCCGCCACGGGGGGAGGUGCUCGCGAGCCCUCCGCCGUGGCGGCUCCUCUGCCACCGGGGGCGAGCCCCGCCCGUCCUUGGCCUCUGCCUCCAGUUGCUCCAGGUCGCGGCUCCCGCGCAGCUGCCGCCGGCCGCCG
This 896-nucleotide long non-coding RNA is filed under the name Sus scrofa (pig). Its description in RNAcentral is "lncRNA (ENSSSCG00055003966.1)". The record is from RNAcentral. Lineage: Eukaryota; Metazoa; Chordata; Mammalia; Artiodactyla; Suidae.